This 468-nucleotide ribosomal RNA is filed under the name uncultured bacterium. RNAcentral describes it as "partial 16S ribosomal RNA". It matches the Rfam family "Bacterial small subunit ribosomal RNA", at positions 28 to 507 of the family's 1533-position model. The record is from RNAcentral.
GACGAACGCUGGCGGCGUGCUUAACACAUGCAAGUCGAACGGAAAGGCCCUGCUUUUGUGGGGUGCUCUAGUUGCGAACGGGUGAUUAACACUUGAGUAACCUGCCCUUGACUUUGGUAUAACUUCAGGAAACUUGGGCUCAUACCGGAUAGGAGCUCCUGCUGCAUGGUGGGGGUUGGAAAGUUUCGGCGGUUGGGGAUGGACUCGCGGCUUAUCAGCUUGUUGGUGGGGUAGUGGCUUACCAAGGCUUUGACGGGUAGCCGGCCUGAGAGGGUGACCGGCCACAGUGGGACUGAGAUACGGCCCAGACUACUACGGGAGGCAGCAGUGGAGAAGAUUGCACAAUGGGCGGAAGCCUGAUGCAGCAACGCCGCGUGCGGGAUGACGGCAUUCGGGUUGUAUACCGCUUUCGCCUGUGACGAAGCGUGAGUGACGGUAAUGGGUAAAGAAGCACCGGCUAACUACGUG